UUCACACGGAUACCACGAAUGCCACGGUGGCCUCCUGAAGACGGAGUCUGGUCUCACAUUCCUCCAGCUUCCUGUGCAUAAACCCCAGCGAAGGGUGAGCGCACGGCAUGGCACCUGCAGCAUGGGGUUCACGUUCUGGAAGGUUCUGGCUGACUCCCACCCCGCCCUUCACUGGCCAAGUAAACUUGCAGAAGUUACUUAACCCUUGACCUAGAAGAGCCUCCUGUCACCUGAAAAGGGAAAGUCGGGAUUGUAAGGAAAGGAAUCUCAUAGGGCUUCUCUGAGGAGACAAAUCAUUGGAUUGGGCUUAGACGUUCCAUCCGUGGUUUCCGGCUUUGCCCUUUGGAGCCUGAGGAGCAAGGGUAGAAUGAGGAUCGUGAGGUUCUUCAGAGGCAGUUACUCACGAGGUCACAGCGCAGAAACGGCAAGAAAUGUCAGUUAUAAAAUGUCCAUGUGCAUUUUAAAUGAAUGGUUAUUAAAAUCCUUCUUUUUCCGUAAGGGAUCUAAAAAAUUAAACAAUUUGUAACUCAAACACACUUGUCAGGUAGCCUGAGUCAAAACCAGGAGAGGCUCCAUGGUCUGGAGUCUCCAGGUGCUCUCCUGGGUGAGGGUCUUGUUGCCUAAGGGGUUUAUGUAAUGAACUCAUUCUAAUACAAGCAAAACAUGAGUCCCUCAGAGUUGUUCAAAAAAUCAGGAAAUAGGAAAAAAUAAAUAAAUGAGAACAGAAUAUUGACAGGAGAGGAAAAUGAAGAGUUACUGGGAGAUUUGAAGGAGGGGAAAUGGGCAAAGGGUAAAUUUAGCAAUUAGACUUAAAGUCAGUGGAGAAUCAGGACAACUAUGGAUGUGAAGGAUGGGAGAGGGGCCUCCUUCCGCAUGAGGUCCCCAGAGGAGAGGGGUUCAUCCUUCUCCAUCUAGGACUUGAGGGACAUCCUUCUCCAUCCAGGACUGAGAGGCAUCCUUCUCCUUGCAGUACCUGAGGGACAUCCUUCUCCAUUCAGGACCUGAGGAUGUCCUUCUCUGUACUCCCUUGGGACUGCACCCUUUCCUGUGCCAUCCUUCAGAAUGCUAGGCUGUCGCUGGUUGUGGAUUGAACUCUAGCAUCUUAUCUCUAUUCUAGGCAUUAUGAAGAGCACCAAAGUGCAAGCCACAGGAUGGUAGAUGCUAUUUACAAUCCAUUCAACCAACAAAGGAUUUACAUGUGGACCACAGAGAGAACUGCAGGCCAGCAAGGAACCACAGGGAGAACUGCAGGCCAGUGAAGA
RNAcentral lists this long non-coding RNA (1262 nucleotides) under Homo sapiens (human). RNAcentral describes it as "HSALNT0025802". The record is from RNAcentral. Lineage: Eukaryota; Metazoa; Chordata; Mammalia; Primates; Hominidae.